AUCAGAACACUAAGCUAUGUAAAGAUCAUUGCUGUUUGGUCAAAUCAUGUCUACAGAUAUGACAAAGGAACUCUAUGCAUAAGCUGGCUUUCCUCACAGGAAAGGUAUAGUAACAUGUUUCCCUCAUGAUGGGCACUGGGAAUUGAUUUCAUCCUUUAUCAUCUAAAAACAUAUGGCUAAAGUUUCAACAGUCUUUCCUGCUUCUUAAAAGGAGUAGAGUCAUUUUGUGCUAACAAUUGGAUCUGAGAAACGGUUUGGCACAGUUCAAACAAACAUUCCUUCGCUCUUGGUCGGACUAGACAAAAUGUUCUCUCUGAUUAUCAGAAAGGGGGCUAUAUAAAGAUCUCGUCUUAGACCAUGCCCCAGUCCACGUGAGCAAGCAAAAGGAUGAAAUGUGUAGAGAUUUCAGAACAAGCGAGGCAAAUAAUCACAUGGUGCGAGAGGCUGGUAAGACACUGGUGAAUAGGGGAAACAAAGACUUUCCUGCUGCAGUUCUGGAGACAAAUUCAUGGAGUCAUGCCAGGGAAGGAAG
RNAcentral lists this long non-coding RNA (532 nucleotides) under Bos taurus (domestic cattle). RNAcentral describes it as "long non-coding RNA NONBTAT013831". Lineage: Eukaryota; Metazoa; Chordata; Mammalia; Artiodactyla; Bovidae. The record is from RNAcentral.